This 523-nucleotide ribosomal RNA is filed under the name Pristimantis tamia. RNAcentral describes it as "Pristimantis sp. t JAO-2021 partial large subunit ribosomal RNA". The stretch from base 389 to 523 matches the Rfam family "Bacterial large subunit ribosomal RNA", at positions 1797 to 1994 of the family's 2925-position model. Lineage: Eukaryota; Metazoa; Chordata; Amphibia; Anura; Strabomantidae. The record is from RNAcentral.
GAGGUACAGCCCAUUUGACUCAGGAUACAACCUUACCUAACGGGUAAAAAUUCAGUAUACAACUUUAAGUAGGCCUAAGAGCAGCCACCUUUUAAAAAGCGUCAAAGCUUAAUCACACCUUANCCAAUUUCAAACUUUAUCUUGACCCCUUUAAUCAUAUUGAGAAUUUCUAUAACAUAUAGAACCUUUUAUGCUAAAACUAGUAACAAGAGGGUACCCUCUCUUUAAUGCAAGUGUAAGCCAGCAAGGACCCACCACUGGCAACUAACAGACCUAAACUAAAGUAACAACUUCACUAGAAAACCCUNCUUUUUUAACUGUUAACCUAACACCAGCGCAUUUCAAGAAAGAUUUAAAAAAAAAGAAGGAACUCGGCAAACACUAGUCCCGCCUGUUUACCAAAAACAUCGCCUCUUGUCCCUAUAAGAGGUCAAGCCUGCCCAGUGACCCUGUUCAACGGCCGCGGUAUUCUAACCGUGCAAAGGUAGCGUAAUCAUUUGUCUUCUAAAUAAAGACCAGUAUG